Molecule: ribosomal RNA, 254 nt
Filed under: uncultured bacterium
Lineage: Bacteria
Description: partial 16S ribosomal RNA
Rfam family: Bacterial small subunit ribosomal RNA
Source: RNAcentral
UACGUAGGGGGCGAGCGUUGUCCGGAUUCAUUGGGCGUAAAGAGCUCGUAGGCGGCUUGUCAAGUCGGGUGUGAAACCUCCAGGCUCAACCUGGAGACGCCACUCGAGACUGUCAUGGCUAGAGUCCGGUAGGGGAUCACGGAAUUCCUGGUGUAGCGGUGAAAUGCGCAGAUAUCAGGAGGAACACCGAUGGCGAAGGCAGUGAUCUGGGCCGAUACUGACGCUGAGGAGCGAAAGCGUGGGGAGCAAACAGG